AACGAACGCUGGCGGCAGGCCUAACCCAUGCAAGUCGAACGAGAACUCCGGGCCUAGUGGCGGACGGGUGAGUACAGCGUGGGAACCUGCCCUUUGGUUCCGAAUAGCCACGUGAAACGGGGCGUAAUACCGGCUGAUUUAUUCGGGGGAAAGAUUUCUCGGCUCAGGAUCGGCCCGCGUUGGUUUGGGUGGUUGGUAGUGUAAUUGCCUACCAUGGCGACGUUCCAUAGCUGGUUUGAGAGGAUGAUCUGCCACACUGGGACUGAGACACGGCCCAGACUCCUACGGGAGGCAGCAGUGGGGAAUCUUAGACAAUGGGGGAAAACCUGAUCUAGCCAUGCCGCGUGAGCGAUGAAGGCCUUAGGGUAGUAAAGCUCUUUCAGCUGGGAAGAUAAUGACGGUACCAGCAGAAGAAGCCCCGGCUAACUCCGUG
This 433-nucleotide ribosomal RNA is filed under the name uncultured bacterium. RNAcentral's name for it is "partial 16S ribosomal RNA". It matches the Rfam family "Bacterial small subunit ribosomal RNA", at positions 29 to 507 of the family's 1533-position model. The record is from RNAcentral.